GACGAACGCUGGCGGCGUGCUUAACACAUGCAAGUCGAACGGAAAGGCCCUGCUUUUGUGGGGUGCUCGAGUGGCGAACGGGUGAGUAACACGUGAGUAACCUGCCCUUGACUUUGGGAUAACUUCAGGAAACUGGGGCUAAUACCGGAUAGGAGCUCCUGCUGCAUGGUGGGGGUUGGAAAGUUUCGGCGGUUGGGGAUGGACUCGCGGCUUAUCAGCUUGUUGGUGGGGUAGUGGCUUACCAAGGCUUUGACGGGUAGCCGGCCUGAGAGGGUGACCGGCCACAUUGGGACUGAGAUACGGCCCAGACUCCUACGGGAGGCAGCAGUGGGGAAUAUUGCACAAUGGGCGGAAGCCUGAUGCAGCAACGCCGCGUGCGGGAUGACGGCCUUCGGGUUGUAAACCGCUUUCGCCUGUGACGAAGCGUGAGUGACGGUAAUGGGUAAAGAAGCACCGGCUAACUACGUGCCAGCAGCCGCGGUGAUACGUAGGGUGCGAGCGUUGUCCGGAUUUACUGGGCGUAAAGGGCUCGUAGGUGGUUGAUCGCGUCGGAAGUGUAAUCUUGGGGCUUAACCCUGAGCGUGCUUUCGAUACGGGUUGACUUGAGGAAGGUAGGGGAGAAUGGAAUUCCUGGUGGAGCGGUGGAAUGCGCAGAUAUCAGGAGGAACACCAGUGGCGAAGGCGGUUCUCUGGGCCUUUCCUGACGCUGAGGAGCGAAAGCGUGGGGAGCGAACAGGCUUAGAUACCCUGGUAGUCCACGCUGUAAACGGUGGGUACUAGGUGUGGGGUCCAUUCCACGGGUUCCGUGCCGUAGCUAACGCUUUAAGUACCCCGCCUGGGGAGUACGGCCGCAAGGCUAAAACUCAAAGGAAUUGACGGGGCCCCGCACAAGCGGCGGAGCAUGCGGAUUAAUUCGAUGCAACGCGUAGAACCUUACCUGGGUUUGACAUGGAUCGGGAGUGCUCAGAGAUGGGUGUGCCUCUUUUGGGGUCGGUUCACAGGUGGUGCAUGGCUGUCGUCAGCUCGUGUCGUGAGAUGUUGGGUUAAGUCCCGCAACGAGCGCAACCCUUGUUCACUGUUGCCAGCACGUUAUGGUGGGGACUCAGUGGAGACCGCCGGGGUCAACUCGGAGGAAGGUGGGGAUGACGUCAAGUCAUCAUGCCCCUUAUGUCCAGGGCUUCACGCAUGCUACAAUGGCUGGUACAGAGAGUGGCGAGCCUGUGAGGGUGAGCGAAUCUCGGAAAGCCGGUCUCAGUUCGGAUUGGGGUCUGCAACUUGACCUCAUGAAGUCGGAGUCGCUAGUAAUCGCAGAUCAGCAACGCUGCGGUGAAUACGUUCCCGGGGCU
Molecule: ribosomal RNA, 1346 nt
Filed under: uncultured bacterium
Lineage: Bacteria
Description: partial 16S ribosomal RNA
Rfam family: Bacterial small subunit ribosomal RNA
Source: RNAcentral